RNAcentral lists this ribosomal RNA (301 nucleotides) under uncultured bacterium. Its description in RNAcentral is "partial 16S ribosomal RNA". It matches the Rfam family "Bacterial small subunit ribosomal RNA", at positions 509 to 807 of the family's 1533-position model. The record is from RNAcentral.
CAGUCGCCGCGGGAAUACGGAGGGAGCUAGCGUUGUUCGGAAUCACUGGGCGUAAAGCGCACGUAGGCGGCUAUUCAAGUCAGGGGUGAAAGCCCGGGGCUCAACCCCGGAACUGCCUUUGAAACUAGAUAGCUUGAAUCUUGGAGAGGCGAGUGGAAUUCCGAGUGUAGAGGUGAAAUUCGUAGAUAUUCGGAAGAACACCAGUGGCGAAGGCGACUCGCUGGACAAGUAUUGACGCUGAGGUGCGAAAGCGUGGGGAGCAAACAGGAUUAGAUACCCGAGUAGUCCCUGUCUCUUAUAC